Molecule: ribosomal RNA, 253 nt
Filed under: uncultured bacterium
Lineage: Bacteria
Description: partial 16S ribosomal RNA
Rfam family: Bacterial small subunit ribosomal RNA
Source: RNAcentral
GCCUACGGGGCGCAGCAGUGGGGAAUAUUGCACAAUGGGGGGAACCCUGAUGCAGCGACGCCGCGUAAGUGAAGAAGUAUUUCGGUAUGUAAAGCUCUAUCAGCAGGGAAGAAAAUGACGGUACCUGACUAAGAAGCCCCGGCUAACUACGUGCCAGCAGCCGCGGUAAUACGUAGGGGGCAAGCGUUAUCCGGAUUUACUGGGUGUAAAGGGAGCGUAGACGGUUAUGCAAGUCUGAAGUGAAAGCUCAAGG